This 468-nucleotide ribosomal RNA is filed under the name uncultured bacterium. RNAcentral describes it as "partial 16S ribosomal RNA". It matches the Rfam family "Bacterial small subunit ribosomal RNA", at positions 28 to 507 of the family's 1533-position model. The record is from RNAcentral.
GACGAACGCUGGCGGCGUGCUUAACACAUGCAAGUCGAACGGAAAGGCCCUGCUCUUGUGGGGUGCUCGAGUGGCGAACGGGUGAGUAACACGUGAGUAACCUGCCCUUGACUUUGGGAUAACUUCAGGAAACUGGGGCUAAUACCCGAUAGGAGCUCCUGCUGCAUGGUGGGGGUUGGAAAGUUUCGGCGGUUGGGGAUGGACUCGCGGCUUAUCAGCUUGUUGGUGGGGUAGUGGCUUACCAAGGCUUUGACGGGUAGCCGGCCUGAGAGGGUGACCGGCCACAUUGGGACUGAGAUACGGCCCAGACUCCUACGGGAGGCAGCAGUGGGGAAUAUUGCGCAAUGGGCGGAAGCCGGGUGCAGCAACGCCGCGUGCGGGAUGACGGCCUUCGGGUUGUAAACCGCUUUCGCCUGUGACGAAGCGUGAGUGACGGUAAUGGGUAAAGAAGCACCGGCUAACUAUGUG